This 440-nucleotide ribosomal RNA is filed under the name uncultured bacterium. RNAcentral describes it as "partial 16S ribosomal RNA". It matches the Rfam family "Bacterial small subunit ribosomal RNA", at positions 338 to 795 of the family's 1533-position model. The record is from RNAcentral.
CCUACGGGUGGCAGCAGUAGGGAAUAUUGCGCAAUGGGCGAAAGCCUGACGCAGCAACGCCGCGUGAAUGAGACGGACUUCGGGGUGUAAAGGUCUGUUAGUGGGGACGAAAAAUGACGGUACCCACAGAGGAAGCACCGGCUAACUCCGUGCCAGCAGCCGCGGUAAUACGGAGGGUGCAAGCGUUGUCCGGAAUCAUUGGGCGUAAAGAGUUCGUAGGCGGCAUGGAAAGUCAGGUGUUAAAGGCGCAGGCUCAACCUGUGUAUGGCACUUGAUACUUGCAAGCUGGAGUGCGGUAGAGGUAAGGGGAAUUCCUGGUGUAGCGGUGAAAUGCUUAGAUAUCAGGAGGAACAUCGGUGGCGUAGGCGCUUUACUGGGCCGUAAUUGACGCUGAGGAACGAAAGCCAGGGUAGCAAAUAGGAUUAGAUACCCGGGUAGUC